UGAUAGUUAUCUUCGUGAGAGCCACCAACAUUCUUUCAGGAUAAACUCCAAUUGCAGCGAAAGCAACAACUAGGAUUACGUGAUGAUUAAUUUUGAUGACGUCUGCUUUGAUAACACUGCUGUUGGAGACUGUCGAUCAGCAGUCAUCUUCACUUGGAGAGUGACAUUAUUAAAUUUUAUGUUAUCCUUAUCUUUUUGGCAUCCUCAUCCUCU
Molecule: long non-coding RNA, 213 nt
Filed under: Elaeis guineensis (African oil palm)
Lineage: Eukaryota; Viridiplantae; Streptophyta; Magnoliopsida; Arecales; Arecaceae
Description: long non-coding RNA (EGUI_LNC001311)
Source: RNAcentral